AUGGAUGGAUGGAUGGAUGGGCAUCAGUUGUAGGAUUUCAGAAUCUCCUUCCAGCCCGAAGCUCAUCAUCUCCUUCCUUUGUAGAAAGCAACAACCUCACCUGGGAGCUCCAAAGGAAACCCAACAGAUGAAGACCUGGCCUGCUUCUGAUUGGAAGACUAGUGAUUUUGUUGUUCUGAUGUAAAAAAGCGACAACAAAUCACAGCCUACCAUCCAGCAGGGGCCCACCUCUCAGUAGUCCACACCUUUUAUCACGUCCUCCUCCUCCUCCUCCUGUUUUUUCUAUACUUCCGCGUUGCAAGGUCACGAAGAAUCACUGGGACCUGUUUGGGACAAUCCCUUCCCUUUUCCCAGGACAUACAGAACGGACCGUAUACAGAUAGUCCUCGACGUACGACCAAAAUUGGGACCAGAAUUUCGGUUGCGGUUGUUAAGUGUGUUGUGGACCAAGUGCCUGUCAGUCUGAAUCCUAAAGUCCCACAAGAUCUUGAGUUUCUCAUUCUCUAAAACUUUCUCAACCUGAAGUUCCCAGUGGUUUUUGCUGUACUCAAAUGCAAACUUCUGGCACAAUUUCCAGUGAAUGAUCUUAGCAACACGGCCAUGGCGUUGGAGUCAUAGUCGUUCAGCGAAUCUGGCUUCCCCCUCGCUGACUUUGCUUAUGAGAAGCCAGCUGGGAAGGUCACCAAUGGCGAUCCCACCAUCCAGGAUUCUGCACAGCGAUUCUGCCAGGGGCUGCUCUGAUGGUUUUAAGUUUGAGGAACGGCCCUUUUUUCAGCACGGUUGUAACUUCAGACGUUUGGUAAGUGAAUGGUGGCUAAGUCAAGAGCUACCUGGAUCCGUGUGUCCGUUAUUAUACAGGACAGUUCUUUCAUUGUUUCUAAUUUUAAUCAAUUUUUAAUUCAAGAGUGAUUUUUACAUCCCUGUUUUUUAUUGUAUUGUAAGCUGCCUGGAGUUGCCCCAAAGAACACGAGAGAGAGAGAGAAAGAGAGAGAGAGAUGGUAGAUGAUGGAUGAUGAUAGAUCAAUAGGCAGAUAGACAGACCGGUGAUAGAUACUGUAGAUGAUAGAUAGACAGAUAGACAAAUAGAGAGAUAGAGAGAUAGAUAUGAUAGAUGAAAAGAGAGAUGGUAGAUAGAUGAUAGAUAAGAGAUAGAGAUAUGAUAAAUAGAUAGAUAGAUAUGAUAGAUAUAUAGAUAAUGAUAAACAAAUAGAUAGGAGAUAGAUAGAUAGAUAGAUAGAUAGAUAGAUAGAUAGAUAGAUGGAUGGAUAGAUAGAUAGAUAGAUAGAUAUGGUAGAUGAGAAGAGAGAUGGUAGAUAGAUGAUAGAUGAUAGAUAAGAGAUAGAUAGAGAUAUGAUAGAUAUAUAGAUAUGAUAAACAAAUAGAUAUGAUAUGAUAAAUAGAUAAAUAGAUAGAUAGAUGAUAUAGAUAUGAUAGAUAGAUAUGAUAGAUAGAUAUGAUAAAUAGAUUAGAUAGAUAGAUAGAUAGAUAGAUAGAUAGAUAGAUAGAUAGAUAGAUAUAGAUAGAUAGAUACAUAGAUGAGAAAGAGAGAUGAUAGAUGAUAGAUAAGAGAUAGGAGAUAUGAUAAAUAGAUAGAUAGAUAGAUAGAUAUGAUAGAUAUAUAGAUAAUGAUAAACAAAUAGAUAGGAGAUAGAUAGAUAGAUAGAUAGAUAGAUGAUAGAUAGAUAGAUAGAUAGAUAUAGAUAUAGAUAGAUACAUAGAUGAGAAAGAGAGAUGAUAGAUAAGAGAUAAGAGAUAGAGAUAUGAUAAAUAGAUAGAUAGAUAUGAUAGAUAUAUAGAUAAUGAUAAACAAAUAGAUAGGAGAUAGAUAGAUAGAUAGAUAGAUAGAUAGAUAGAUAGAUAGAUAGAUAGAUAGAUAGAUAGAUAGAUAAGAGAGAGAGAGAGAGAGAAAUUCAGAAAGGUGUCCUUUAAAUUUAUUUAUGUCUCCAAAAACUCAAUCUUGGCCUUUCUUUGGGUCAUUUUACUUUUUACCAUCCAAAUGGUACCGCUUCAAGCACAGUGUGAUUGCAGAAAUCCUUUUUAAUACCCAUUCCAUCCAGCUUCAUAACUUUUAAUGCUUUUUAAAUGUUUUUAUUAGAAUAUGUACUUUGGUAAGAUCUUUUUGGAUUUUGCUCUUGAGUUUUUCCUUUGUUAAAAAACAUUUCUUACAAAUCUCUUUCAGGUUUUCCUGUUUUUUCAGGUUUGUUCUUUCUCGUUUUCCAAGAAAAAAGGGUCACUGAAGAUCGGAUUGCAUUUAAAAAACAUUUUCCUUCCGAAACAAUAAAAUAAACUUUUAGCACCUUUCAGAA
Pantherophis guttatus is the source of this 2306-nucleotide non-coding RNA. The record is from RefSeq and is a predicted model, not a curated record. NCBI's taxonomy places the organism in Eukaryota, Metazoa, Chordata, Lepidosauria, Squamata, Colubridae.